This is a non-coding RNA of Paramuricea clavata, 778 nucleotides long. NCBI's taxonomy places the organism in Eukaryota, Metazoa, Cnidaria, Anthozoa, Malacalcyonacea, Plexauridae. The record is from the annotation of a GenBank genome assembly.
CUAUUAUACAAUUUCGUAAAUUUUCUCUCUUAAUUUCAUUAUGUUUCAAUUUCAUAUAUGUCUGUAACUUAAUUUCAAUUUCAUUAUAUAUGUCCGUAUUAACUGAAACCACAUAUAUUAUACUAAUAAAUUAAAUAUGUAACUUUGAAUUUUGAGAUGGGGUGGCCUCUUCACACAAGCUCUAAGCUUCUUGAGGUCUCCUCGCCGACUUUAUUUUAUUAUAAUAUUUUGUAAAUAGCUAACAGUCUUUUUUUUGGCAAAUAAAUUCUGCGUGUAAAUUCACGUGUAAAUUCUGCCCAAAUUCUCGGCGUUACGAUCCAAACCAAAAUGAAUUGGAAUGAACACGUUAAUAAAAUUGUUAAGAAAUCUGGGAAAAGAUUGUAUAUGCUCAGGUUAUUGAAACGAGCCAACGCUGACACUAGAAUGUUAUCCAUCGCAUUUACCACUAUUAUAAGGCCAGUCUUAGAAUACGCUUGCCAAGUUUGGCACUUCAACAUUCCAGGUUAUUUGAGUGAUGAUAUUGAAAGGGUUCAAAGAAGAGCUUUGAAAAUUAUUUUACCAGAACUUAGCUAUAACGAUGCACGCGAACUUAUUAAUAUUCCAUCCUUGAAGGAACGACGUGAGAUUUUAUGCGAACAGUUCUUUUUGAGAGAUGAGAACCUUCAAAAAUUUGAUGAAUUUUUACCUAAUAAAUCCUCUUCGGUCUAUGAUACGAGGGGAAAUUGUAAAUAUAAUAAUUAUUAUUGUAAAACAGAACGUUUUAGAAAAUCCUUCUUAC